This 441-nucleotide ribosomal RNA is filed under the name uncultured bacterium. RNAcentral's name for it is "partial 16S ribosomal RNA". It matches the Rfam family "Bacterial small subunit ribosomal RNA", at positions 338 to 795 of the family's 1533-position model. The record is from RNAcentral.
CCUACGGGAGGCAGCAGUGGGGGAUAUUGCACAAUGGGGGGAACCCUGAUGCAGCGACGCCGCGUGGGUGAAGAAGCGCCUCGGCGCGUAAAGCCCUGUCAGCAGGGAAGAAAAUGACGGUACCUGAAGCAGAAGCCCCGGCUAACUACGUGCCAGCAGCCGCGGUAAGACGUAGGGGUCAAGCGUCAUCCGGAUUUACUGGUUGUAAAGGGUGCGCAGACGGCGAUGCAAGCCAUGAGUGAAGGCCCGGGGCCCAACCCCGGGACUGCUCUUGGAACUGCGUGGCUGGAGUGCAGGAGGGGCAGGCGGAAGUCCUGGUGUAGCGGUGAAAUGCGUAGAUAUCAGGAGGAACACCGGUGGCGAAGGCGGCCUGCUGGACUGCAACUGACGUUGAGGCCCGAAAGCGUGGGGAGCAAACAGGAUUAGAUACCCCAGUAGGUC